CCGAGCUCCUCGUCGGCGAAGCCUCUCCCGACGCCUCCUCUCCUCCGUGCCUUAGCGCUCCGAGGGUUUUCGUGCAAGAUCCGUGGUCUUCUUCUUCUCUCGGCCAACAGCACACACACCCUGUUCUUUCACGCCGGCGAAGUCUUGCCGGCCUUCAUUGACAUUUCAAAAAAGGGUUACAAGUCAGCAUAGGAUGGAUACAACUAGCUCAAAGAAUGCAAGGAAAGAAGGGAGUGAAGAAAGAAACUGGACUUGGUCUAACAUAUAAAAAGGAUGAAAAUUUUGGAGAAUGGUACUCUGAGGUUA
This is a long non-coding RNA of Phalaenopsis equestris, 306 nucleotides long. RefSeq lists it as uncharacterized. The transcript is spliced from 3 exons. Lineage: Eukaryota; Viridiplantae; Streptophyta; Magnoliopsida; Asparagales; Orchidaceae. The record is from RefSeq and is a predicted model, not a curated record.